UACAGAGGGGGCAAGCGUUGUUCGGAAUUACUGGGCGUAAAGGGCGCGUAGGCGGCCUGCUAAGUCGAACGUGAAAUCCCUGGGCUCAACCCAGGAACUGCGUCCGAUACUGGUUGGCUUGAAUCCGGGAGAGGGAUGUGGAAUUCCAAGUGUAGCGGUGAAAUGCGUAGAUAUCUGCAGGAACACCCGUGGCGAAAGCGGCGCGCUGGACCACUACUGACGCUGAGGAACGAAAGCUAGGGGAGCAAACAGG
Molecule: ribosomal RNA, 253 nt
Filed under: uncultured bacterium
Lineage: Bacteria
Description: partial 16S ribosomal RNA
Rfam family: Bacterial small subunit ribosomal RNA
Source: RNAcentral